This 560-nucleotide ribosomal RNA is filed under the name uncultured Glomus. RNAcentral describes it as "SSU rRNA". It matches the Rfam family "Eukaryotic small subunit ribosomal RNA", at positions 546 to 1106 of the family's 1831-position model. Lineage: Eukaryota; Fungi; Glomeromycota; Glomeromycetes; Glomerales; Glomeraceae. The record is from RNAcentral.
AAUUGGAGGGCAAGUCUGGUGCCAGCAGCCGCGGUAAUUCCAGCUCCAAUAGCGUAUAUUAAAGUUGUUGCAGUUAAAAAGCUCGUAGUUGAAUUUCGGGAUCAAUAUUUCGGUCAUGCCGUUGGUAUGCACUGUUAUCAUUGAUUUUUCACCUUCUAAAGAACCGUAAUGCCAUUAAUUUGGUGUUACGGGGAAUUAGGACUGUUACCUUGAAAAAAUUAGAGUGUUUAAAGCAGGCUCACGCUUGAAUACAUUAGCAUGGAAUAAUGAAAUAGGACAUCCGAUUCUAUUUUGUUGGUUUCUAGGAUCGAUGUAAUGAUUAAUAGGGAUAGUUGGGGGCAUUAGUAUUCAAUUGUCAGAGGUGAAAUUCUUGGAUUUAUUGAAGACUAACUACUGCGAAAGCAUUUGCCAAGGAUGUUUUCAUUAAUCAAGAACGAAAGUUAGGGGAUCGAAGACGAUCAGAUACCGUCGUAGUCUUAACCAUAAACUAUGCCGACUAGGGAUCGGAUGAUGUUAAUUUUUUAAUGACUCAUUCGGCGCCUUACGGGAAACCAAAGUGU